Long non-coding RNA from Passer domesticus (house sparrow), 595 nucleotides. RefSeq lists it as uncharacterized. NCBI's taxonomy places the organism in Eukaryota, Metazoa, Chordata, Aves, Passeriformes, Passeridae. The transcript has 3 exons. The record is from RefSeq and is a predicted model, not a curated record.
GAGCUGCAUGUCACAUGUGUGAGGAGCCAAGGCAUCUGAUCCAAAACUCAUCAAGUCAACAUAAACAAGCCCUUUGACUUCAGGUGACCUUGGGACGAGCCCUCGAGGAUUUUACCAGUCAGAGCUUUUCCAGCAUCAUUUGGAUAAUCUUCCAGGGGGGGAAAUAACCAAAGAAGAUAUCUGGGCAAUAACUGGGAAGCAAUUACAACUGCAGCACCCCCAGCAGUACUUAACCAGUGUGACUCCAGCUCCUUGGUACCAGGCUGAUGCUGGAUCCUCAGCCACACAAGAGGGAGAAAAGAGACCAAGGACAGCAAGCACAGGGGAAAUGAUGCUUCACUUGCUCACUGGAUCUCCUUAAGGAUACCACACACUUGUCUAAAAAAGAUCAGCAGAGAUCACCUACUUGGAUUUCCAACCUCCCCUCAUCUUUCUUUCUUGUUAAAGGUUAAUGACCAAGUGAAAAGGAAAAUUGACAUACAUUAAAAACCCAAGGUCAAACACAAAGGGCAGUCUCAAGCAAACCACAGGAUCACAGAAUGGUUUGGCCUGGAAGAAAGAGACCUUCAAGACCACCUCGUUCCAAUUUCUCUAU